RNAcentral lists this ribosomal RNA (332 nucleotides) under uncultured bacterium. RNAcentral describes it as "bacterial SSU rRNA". It matches the Rfam family "Bacterial small subunit ribosomal RNA", at positions 568 to 898 of the family's 1533-position model. The record is from RNAcentral.
UGCGCAGGCGGUUUUGUAAGUCAGAUGUGAAAUCCCCGGGCUUAACCUGGGAACUGCAUUUGAGACUGCAAGGCUAGAGUGUGGCAGAGGGGGGUAGAAUUCCACGUGUAGCAGUGAAAUGCGUAGAGAUGUGGAGGAAUACCGAUGGCGAAGGCAGCCCCCUGGGCCAAUACCGACGCUCAUGCACGAAAGCGUGGGGAGCAAACAGGAUUAGAUACCCUGGUAGUCCACGCCCUAAACGAUGUCAACUAGGUGUUGGAGGGGUUAAACCCUUUAGUGCCGUAGCUAACGCGUGAAGUUGACCGCCUGGGGAGUACGGCCGCAAGGCUAAA